RNAcentral lists this ribosomal RNA (243 nucleotides) under uncultured bacterium. RNAcentral's name for it is "partial 16S ribosomal RNA". It matches the Rfam family "Bacterial small subunit ribosomal RNA", at positions 57 to 305 of the family's 1533-position model. The record is from RNAcentral.
GCAAGUCGAGCGCGAAAACACUUCGGUGUGAGUAGAGCGGCGGACGGGUGAGUAAUGCUUGGGAAUCUGCCCAAUAGUGGGGGAUAACCUGUGGAAACGCAGGCUAAUACCGCAUACGUCCUACGGGAGAAAGCAGGGGAUCUUCGGACCUUGCGCUAUUGGAUGAGCCCAAGUCGGAUUAGCUUGUUGGUGGGGUAAUGGCUCACCAAGGCAACGAUCUUUAGCUGGACUGAGAGGUCGAAC